RNAcentral lists this small nuclear RNA (103 nucleotides) under Peromyscus maniculatus bairdii (prairie deer mouse). Lineage: Eukaryota; Metazoa; Chordata; Mammalia; Rodentia; Cricetidae. The record is from RNAcentral.
AAAUGUAUUAAGACACUUUUUUUCCUUUGGAACAAGACAGAGAAGGUCAGCGUGGCCUCUGCACAAGAACGGCAUGCAAAUUUGUGAAGCAUUUCAUAGCUGU